UGGGGAAUAUUGGACAACGGGCGAAAGCCUGAUCCAGCCAUGCCGCGUGAGUGAUGAAGGCCCUAGGGUUGUAAAGCUCUUUUGUGCGGGAAGAUAAUGACGGUACCGCAAGAAUAAGCCCCGGCUAACUUCGUGCCAGCAGCCGCGGUAAUACGAAGGGGGCUAGCGUUGCUCGGAAUCACUGGGCGUAAAGGGUGCGUAGGCGGGUUUCUAAGUCAGAGGUGAAAGCCUGGAGCUCAACUCCAGAACUGCCUUUGAUACUGGAAGUCUUGAGUUCGGGAGAGGUGAGUGGAACUGCGAGUGUAGAGGUGAAAUUCGUAGAUAUUCGCAAGAACACCAGUGGCGAAGGCGGCUCACUGGCCCGAUACUGACGCUGAGGCACGAAAGCGUGGGGAGCAAACA
RNAcentral lists this ribosomal RNA (402 nucleotides) under uncultured bacterium. Its description in RNAcentral is "bacterial SSU rRNA". It matches the Rfam family "Bacterial small subunit ribosomal RNA", at positions 355 to 774 of the family's 1533-position model. The record is from RNAcentral.